RNAcentral lists this ribosomal RNA (771 nucleotides) under uncultured bacterium. RNAcentral's name for it is "bacterial SSU rRNA". It matches the Rfam family "Bacterial small subunit ribosomal RNA", at positions 8 to 796 of the family's 1533-position model. The record is from RNAcentral.
AGAGUUUGAUCAUGGCUCAGAAUCAACGCUGGCGGCGUGCCUAACACAUGCAAGUCGAACGAGAAAGUGGAGCAAUCCAUGAGUAGAGUGGCGUACGGGUGAGUAACACGUGACUAACCUUCCUUCGAGUGGGGAAUAACCUCGGGAAACCAGGGCUAAUACCGCAUAACAUCUUCGGGUGAAACUCCCGGGGAUCAAAGGGGUAAGACGCUUGAAGAGGGGGUCGCGGCUGAUUAGUUAGUUGGCGGGGUAAUGGCCCACCAAGACGAUGAUCAGUAUCCGGCCUGAGAGGGCGCACGGACACACUGGAACUGAAACACGGUCCAGACUCCUACGGGAGGCAGCAGUGGGGAAUUUUGCGCAAUGGGGGAAACCCUGACGCAGCAACGCCGCGUGGAGGAUUAAGUCCCUUGGGAUGUAAACUCCUUUCGACUGGGAAGAAACUGACGGUACCAGUAGAAGAAGCCCCGGCUAACUUCGUGCCAGCAGCCGCGGUAAUACGAGGGGGGCAAGCGUUGUUCGGAAUUAUUGGGCGUAAAGGGUGCGUAGGCUGUGCGGUAAGUCACCUGUGAAAACUCUGGGCUCAACCCAGAGCCUGCAGGCGAAACUGCCGUGCUGGAGUAUGGGAGAGGUGCGUGGAAUUCCCGGUGUAGCGGUGAAAUGCGUAGAUAUCGGGAGGAACACCUGUGGCGAAAGCGGCGCACUGGACCAUAACUGACGCUGAUGCACGAAAGCUAGGGGAGCAAACAGGAUUAGAUACCCUAGUAGUCC